UGGCUGCGCUAGGAGCCUCGGCCGCCGGUCGCCGAGGGCUGGUGGGAAGGCAGGAGCGAGAGGGCCCGGGAGACUGGCGCCCGCGCGGGCGCAGCGCGGCAUGUAGCUGCGGGCGCCCGCGUGUGGGUGUCGGCCCGGGGCCCCGCCAUGGCUGGGAAGGACAGUGGGCACCUGAAGACGGUGAGGCUGUGGCGGGACGCCGCCCUGCGCGCCAGGAAGCUGCGGAGCAACCUGCGCCAGCUCACGCUCAGCGCUGCCGGGGGCUGCCCGGGGGCGGGCGCCGAGCAGCUCGACUGCCCCGACGCCCCCCAGCUCGUGCUGCCGGCCAACAUCGGCGACAUUGAGGUGCUGAACCUGGGGAACAACGGCCUGGAGGAGGUGCCCGACGGGCUGGGCUCGGCGCUGGGCAGCCUGCGCGUCCUGGUCCUGCGCAGGAACCGCUUCGCCCGGCUGCCCCCGGCCGUGGCCGAGUUGGGCCACCACCUCACCGAGCUGGACGUGAGCCACAACCGGCUGACCGCCCUGGGCGCGGAGGUGGUGAGUGCCCUGCGGGAGCUGCGCAAGCUCAACCUCAGCCACAACCAGCUGCCCGCCCUGCCCGCCCAGCUGGGUGCCCUGGCCCACCUGGAGGAGCUGGAUGUCAGCUUUAACCGGCUGGCACACCUGCCCGACUCCCUCUCCUGCCUCUUCCGCCUGCGCACGCUCGACGUGGACCACAACCGGCUCACUGCUUUCCCCCGGCAGCUGCUGCAGCUGGCGGCCCUGGAGGAGUUGGACGUGUCCGGCAACCGGCUGCGGGGCCUGCCUGAGGAUAUCAGUGCCCUGCGCGCCCUCAAGAUCCUCUGGCUGAGUGGCGCCGAGCUUGGCACCCUGCCCAGUGGCUUCUGCGAGCUGGCCAGCCUCGAGAGCCUCAUGCUAGACAACAACGGGCUGCAGGCGCUGCCCGCCCAGUUCAGCCGCCUGCAGCGACUGAAAAUGCUCAACCUCUCCUCCAACCUGUUCGAGGAGUUCCCUGCCGCGCUGCUGCCCCUGGCUGGUCUGGAGGAGCUCUACCUUAGUCGCAACCAGCUCACAUCGGUGCCAUCCCUUAUCUCGGGCCUGGGCCGGCUGCUCACCCUCUGGCUGGAUAACAACCGGAUCCGCUAUCUGCCCGACUCCAUCGUGGAGCUGACCGGCCUGGAGGAGCUGGUGCUGCAAGGGAACCAGAUCGCCGUGCUGCCCGACAACUUUGGCCAGCUCUCCAGGGUGGGCCUGUGGAAGAUCAAGGACAAUCCGCUGAUCCAGCCCCCCUACGAGGUCUGCAUGAAGGGGAUCCCCUACAUUGCCGCCUACCAGAAGGAGUUGGCCCAUUCCCAGCCCGCGGUGCAGCCCCGCCUCAAGCUGCUCCUGAUGGGCCACAAGGCUGCGGGGAAGACCUUGCUCCGUCACUGCCUCACUGAGGAGAGAGUGGAGGGACACCAAGGAGGAGGGGACAAGGAAGAGAGCUACCCCCCUUCCGCUCCUCCUGUGAGCAAAGGCAUCGAGGUGACCAGCUGGACGGCUGAUGCUUCCCGGGGACUGCGGUUCAUCGUGUAUGAUUUAGCUGGUGAUGAGAGUUACGAGGUGAUCCAGCCCUUCUUCCUCUCCCCAGGAGCCCUCUACAUGCUGGUGGUGAACCUGGCCACCUAUGAGCCACCCCGCUUUCCCACCACCGUGGGCUCCUUCUUGCAUCGGGUGGGGGCUCGCGUGCCGCAUGCCGUGGUGUGCAUCGUGGGCACGCACGCAGACCUGUGUGGGGAGCGGGAGCUGGAGGAGAAGUGCCUGGACAUUCACCGCCAGAUUGCCCUGCAGGAGAAGCAUGAUGCAGAGGGGCUGAGCCGGUUGGCCCAGGUGGUGGACGAGGCACUGGCCCGGGACUUUGAGCUGCGCUCCGCCAGCCCCCAUGCAGCCUACUGUGGGGUUUCAGACAAGAACCUUCGGCGGCGCAAGGCCCAUUUUCAGUACCUGCUCAACCACCGGCUGCAGAUCCUCUCCCCGGUGUUGCCUGUUAGCUGUAGGGACCCUCGGCAGUUACAGCGGCUUCGGGACAAACUGCUCUCAGUAGCAGAGCACAGGGAGAUCUUCCCCAAUUUACACAGAGUACUGCCUCGGUCCUGGCAGGUGCUGGAGGAACUGCACUUCCAGCCGCCUCAGGCACAGCGACUGUGGCUCAGCUGGUGGGACUCGGCCCGUCUGGGCCUGCAGGCGGGUCUGACCGAGGACCGGCUGCAGAGUGCCCUUUCUUACCUGCAUGAAAGCGGCAAGCUGCUCUACUUUGAGGACAGCCCCGCCCUCAAGGAGCACGUCUUCCACAACCUCACCCGCCUCAUCGACAUCCUCAAUGUCUUUUUCCAGAGGGAUCCUUCCUUGCUGCUGCACAAGUUGCUCCUGGGGACCAGCGGUGAGGGCGAGGGCGAGGGUGAAAGCGCCCCAGCGAUGACGACGCCCACCCCGGGCCAGGAACUGCUCCGGGCCACCCAGCUCCAUCAUUACGUGGAGGGCUUUCUGCUUCACGGGCUCUUGCCAGCCCAUGUCAUUCGGUUGCUGCUGAAGCCUCACGUCCAGGCCCCGCAGGACUUGCAGCUGUUGCUGGAGCUGCUGGAGAAGAUGGGACUCUGUUACUGCCUCAAUAAACCGAAGGGCAAGCCCUUGAAUGGGUCCACGGCUUGGUACAAAUUCCCGUGCUAUGUGCAGAACGAGGUGCCCCAUGCAGAGGCCUGGAUUAAUGGGACCAACCUGGCCGGGCAGUCUUUUGUGGCUGAGCAGUUGCAGAUUGAAUAUAGUUUCCCCUUUACCUUUCCACCUGGUCUGUUUGCACGCUACAGUGUCCAGAUCAACAGCCACGUGGUGCACAGGUCGGAUGGGAAACUUCAGAUCUUUGCAUAUCGAGGGAAGGUUCCCGUGGUGGUCAGUUACAGACCUGCCAAGGGCGUCCUGCAGCCAGACACUCUGUCCAUUGCCAGCCACGCAUCCUUACCAAAUAUAUGGACGGCAUGGCAAGCCAUAACCCCCUUAGUAGAGGAACUGAAUGUCCUACUUCAGGAAUGGCCUGGACUGCACUACACCGUGCACAUUCUCUGUUCUAAGUGCCUUAAGAGAGGGUCGCCCAAUCCACACGCUUUCCCAGGGGAGUUGCUGAGUCAGCCCAGACCAGAAGGAGUGGCAGAAAUCAUUUGCCCUAAGAACGGCAGCGAGCGAGUGAAUGUUGCCUUGGUUUACCCACCUACACCGACUGUGAUCAGCCCCUGUUCUAAGUAUCUCCAUACUUUCUUGGAAAAUUAAGUGGAAAAGAUAGUGCUUCUUUCCCCUAUGUCAUCAUUUUUCUGUACCCAAUCUGUGACUUUAGGAGCACCAAUUUUUAAGGGAAGAACGUUGGUGAAAAGCACAGAAACCAAUGACUUCUAUGGCUAUGGAAUUUCCGUGGAGAAAAGAGAGCAUCCGAACUCACCUGGACCAUCUUUCAUACCUGGCAAACCCUCUCCAUGCUCCCGCGCGUGUUCCGUGAACUUGAGCGAAUAGACGUUCGGGGUGCUUACAGAGCAGGGCGUACACCUGGCCUGUAGAGGAAGUGGGGAGGGGCAGGGGGAGGCUGGGGGAGAACAUGGAGCAAAUGUUUUACAACCCGAACCUCAGAACUGUGAUCCUCCGAGGAGAGCGCUACUUGAAGAAAAGAAAAAAAAAAAAAAAAAGUCGAAUGGCUUCUCAGGGAUUUUGUUUUCUGUGCACAUUAAAGCCAUAGUUCCAGUAUAGGUGGCCGUGUUUUGAGCACUCAGAUUUCAGUUCUGUUAAAUGUGAAAGAGGGAUCGACUGUUCAUUGCUGUUCCGUAACUAGUGUAAAAUAUGUAUAUGUUUAUCUUUAUUUUUAUAAUAUGCAAAUACAUUUAAAUUUAUACAGUUUAAUGCUUCUAGCGUUAGUUCACACUGGGUGCAAUAUUCUGCAUGAGAACUGUGCCGAGAUGGGGCUAAUUUCUUAUUUUAGCGUAAGACCUUUUUGUUCAUUCUUUAUUCUUUAAUCCGUCUGAGAUUUAAAAAAAAAAAUCUCUCUGCCCACGGAUUAAGUGCUGGGGUCAUAGAGGCUGCCGAUAAUCAACAAGAACCUUAAACGUGUACGGCAGGCAGUCUCCUGCCCUUCUUUUAAAUAAAGAUCCCCCGCCUGUAAGCCUGUCUGUUGGGCGGGCUGGUGGGAUUCCUGUGUCGCUCUGCCCGCCUGUCCGCUGGCACCGAGCCAAGUGGUCCUUGCUCCAGGAUGGGUUUUGUGUCGACAGUGAGUUGUCACUGGCUGAUGUACUGAUGGAGGCCUGGUGUUGGGAUUCUUCAGGGGACAGGGACAGAGAGGGGUCAUUGAGUCCAUGGAAAACCUGAGUCUUUCAAUAGCUCAAGAUAAUCAGGAGUCAGUUGUGAAUGGUGCAAAGAGCUUUGCUAACGAGUCCUUUUUUUCUCUCUCUCUACAACAGAGUCUGUGAAAUUUAGCAGAGCACUCUGACAGCCCUCCACAUCUGGCUGUCAGACCUUAAGAUAGUGAGUUGCCUCACUGGAGAGCAUAAUCCCACAUUGGUUAUUUACAAAUGCAGAGCCUUGAUAGGAUGGUCACCUGCCAAGAACUAGUAAAACCAUUGUUGUUCAGUCUCCACAGAGUGGAACAUGAAAAGCAAAGCAGAUUGCUCUCUCAUCCACUCCGAAUCGGGGCCAAACGUAUCUGCUGCAAUAGUAACACAUUCUUUGAAGAAUGGAAAGGACUCUGUUUACGGCUGCCUCCUCUGCGUGUUGAUGGAAAAAUGUGUAAAACAAACUGUUUCUCACCAGUGUAAGGCAUGAAAAGUGAGUCAGCUGGUAUUAUUCUUUUCCUUCUUUUAUAAAGUAUUGACUCUCGCAAUGCCAGUAUACAAAGUCUUGACGUAUUUUUAAAAGGAAUAACAAACUAGCAAGCGGUUGCAUUGUGAACAAUCCCAAGUUGAUUUUCGUAGAUUUUGUGCCCCAGGAGUUGAGACUCCAGAACCUCAGUUAAACGAAUAUGAUUUCUCACGGCCAUAAAAUCAAAUGGGAUCAGACUAUUUCUGCAUUUUUGGAUAUUUGAAUAUGACACCUCAAUUUUGAAAUUUCAUUUCCUUUUAGAACACAGUCACAAGAUCACCUGCUUAAUCCUUUGGUCACAGUUCUUGUGCGAGCAUGUGCGUGCGUGCAUCUGUGUGCGUGUGAGCCAAAUGGUAACAUUUAAUUGCUUUAUGGACCAUUGAAUUGUUGGGCAUAGGACUUUUGUAAUUGGCACGAGACGGUUCCUAAACUGUCAGAUUAACUGACUUGACCAGUCUUUUGCAAGGACACUGAAGGAUGCGACUUCAGGCUAACUCCCCAGGGGACCAUAUUAAAUGAAAAAAAAAAAAAAGGCUCCUUUGGGUGACAUACCCUGCAAAAUGUUUGUUAUUCUUAUGAACAUAAAUGCCCACAUUCUUAAUAUCUGCUAUUAUUUGACAAGUGAUGUUUUGUGCUGUCAUCUGAACCCUAGAGAAGCAGUGUAAGAAGAAAUCUUGGUGUCACGUGUGUUUUAGCAAAAUGGUCAUUGUGACCAAGGGUCACGUGACCAGCAGAAGCUCCAGAAAAGCUCGAGACCUUGCUUCAGGGUUGGGGGAGGGUUGGAGAUACAGAAAACACUCUGCUCUACUGGAAUGUUCAGUGUCAAUGCAGGCGGUUGCAUACGUGGGAAGACUCAGCCUGCCGAGGCUGACGGGCAGGUCACUAAAGCACAAGGGGAGUCUUUUGAGACGCAGUGGUCCCUUGCCUCGCAAACAAACGCCCUUCAAGUUUGUUAUGGUUUCUAUUCCUGCAACCUGUGGUAUCAAAACCACUUCCUGGAAUUUAACAGUGCUGCCAGGAUAAAAUGUUUUUCCCCCUUCUGAGAAAAAAAAAAAAAUGACAGUGCUCAUAUUUGACAUUUGUGCAUCGGACUCUUUUGAAUGAAUAAAAAGGAAAGGGUUUGGUAUAAUUCCUGAUGGGGUGUGUGUGUGUUCUUUUUCAUGCCACAGUUUGUAAAUUGUAAUUGUGGUUUCCCCUUGAAUUGUCUUGACUGAGCAGAAAUUUAAAAAAGUCAAAAAAGUUCAAUAAAAAUACAAAGAAAUGAUGAAGCAA
RNA transcript from Zalophus californianus (California sea lion), 6141 nucleotides. It is a transcript of the gene named malignant fibrous histiocytoma amplified sequence 1, with no coding region annotated. The transcript has 4 exons. The record is from RefSeq and is a predicted model, not a curated record. Lineage: Eukaryota; Metazoa; Chordata; Mammalia; Carnivora; Otariidae.